CAUGCAAGUCGAACGAUAAGCUAGACUUCGGUUUAGUGGACAGUGGCAGACGGGUGAGUAACGCGUGGGAAUCUACCUUUGAGUGGGGAAUAACAAUUAGAAAUGAUUGCUAAUACCGCAUAUACCCUCCGGGGGAAAGGCUUCGGCCGCUCUUAGAUGAGCCCGCGUACGAUUAGUUUGUUGGUGAGGUAAAGGCUCACCAAGACUACGAUCGUUAGCUGGUUUGAGAGGAUGAUCAGCCACACUGGGACUGAGACACGGCCCAGACUCCUACGGGAGGCAGCAGUGGGGAAUAUUGGACAAUGGGCGAAAGCCUGAUCCAGCCAUGCCGCGUGAGUGAAGAAGGCCUUAGGGUUGUAAAACUCUUUCGACAGGGAAGAUAAUGACGGUACCUGUAUAAGAAGCUCCGGCUAACUCCGUGCCAGCAGCCGCGGUAAUACGGAGGGGGCAAGCGUUGCUCGGAAUUACUGGGCGUAAAGCGAGCGUAGGCGGUUAGUCAAGUUGGUGGUGAAAGCCCGGAGCUCAACUCCGGAACUGCCAUCAAAACUGACUUACUUGAGAUUGGUAGAGGAAAAUGGAAUUCCCUAGUGUAGAGGUGAA
Molecule: ribosomal RNA, 600 nt
Filed under: uncultured Alphaproteobacteria bacterium
Lineage: Bacteria; Pseudomonadati; Pseudomonadota; Alphaproteobacteria
Description: bacterial SSU rRNA
Rfam family: Bacterial small subunit ribosomal RNA
Source: RNAcentral